Molecule: transfer RNA, 64 nt
Filed under: Stenocladius bicoloripes
Lineage: Eukaryota; Metazoa; Arthropoda; Insecta; Coleoptera; Lampyridae
Description: tRNA-Leu
Source: RNAcentral
UCUAAUAUGACAGAAUAGUGUGAUAAAUUUAAGAUUUAUUAAUAAAGUUGUACUUUUUUUAGAA